This 103-nucleotide small nuclear RNA is filed under the name Cebus imitator (Panamanian white-faced capuchin). The record is from RNAcentral. Lineage: Eukaryota; Metazoa; Chordata; Mammalia; Primates; Cebidae.
UCGCUUUGGCAGCACAUAUACUAAAAUUGAAAUGAUACAAAGAAGAUUAGCGUGGCCUUUGCUCAAGGAUGACAUGCAAAUUUGUGAAGCGUUCCGCUUAAAG